RNAcentral lists this transfer RNA (70 nucleotides) under Dipodomys ordii (Ord's kangaroo rat). It matches the Rfam family "tRNA". From Rfam's summary of the family: Transfer RNA (tRNA) molecules are approximately 80 nucleotides in length. Their secondary structure includes four short double-helical elements and three loops (D, anti-codon, and T loops). Further hydrogen bonds mediate the characteristic L-shaped molecular structure. tRNAs have two regions of fundamental functional importance: the anti-codon, which is responsible for specific mRNA codon recognition, and the 3' end, to which the tRNAs corresponding amino acid is attached (by aminoacyl-tRNA synthetases). tRNAs cope with the degeneracy of the genetic code in two manners: having more than one tRNA (with a specific anti-codon) for a particular amino acid; and 'wobble' base-pairing, i.e. permitting non-standard base-pairing at the 3rd anti-codon position. Lineage: Eukaryota; Metazoa; Chordata; Mammalia; Rodentia; Heteromyidae. The record is from Rfam by way of RNAcentral.
GGGAAUGUGGCUUAGUGGUAGAGUGCUUGUCUAGCAUGCAUGAAGCCCUAGGUUCGAUUCCUCAAUACCA